RNAcentral lists this small RNA (1005 nucleotides) under Pan troglodytes (chimpanzee). RNAcentral describes it as "retained intron". Lineage: Eukaryota; Metazoa; Chordata; Mammalia; Primates; Hominidae. The record is from RNAcentral.
CUGAAAGUCCUCCAAAGCCUUCUUGAGUCAUAGAGGGAGCAUAGAAUGGGUGAUGACCUGGCACCAAUCCUGCCUUUGCUGCUUACCAACCACACGGGCUGAAGUCAGCCUGCCUCUUUGGAGCAUCAGUUUCUUCUUCUGUAAAAUAGCAUGACACAGCACCUGCUUUGCAUCCCUCAUAGGCUUGUUGAGAUGUUCAAAGGAGAGCGUGACCAUAUCUUGUUUCAGACAUGUGAUACACUCAUGCCCAUCUGUGUCUUGCCAGCCAUUGACUGUGAGCUCACCGAGUGGUCCCAGUGGUCGGAAUGUAACAAGUCAUGUGGGAAAGGCCACGUGAUUCGAACCCGGAUGAUCCAAAUGGAGCCUCAGUUUGGAGGUGCACCCUGCCCAGAGACUGUGCAGCGAAAAAAGUGCCGCAUCCGAAAAUGCCUUCGAAAUCCAUCCAUCCAGAAGCUACGCUGGAGGGAGGCCCGAGAGAGCCGGCGGAGUGAGCAGCUGAAGGAAGAGUCUGAAGGGGAGCAGUUCCCAGGUUGUAGGAUGCGCCCAUGGACGGCCUGGUCAGAAUGCACCAAACUGUGCGGAGGUGGAAUUCAGGAACGUUACAUGACUGUAAAGAAGAGAUUCAAAAGCUCCCAGUUUACCAGCUGCAAAGACAAGAAGGAGAUCAGAGCAUGCAAUGUUCAUCCUUGUUAGCAAGGGUACGAGUUCCCCAGGGCUGCACUCUAGAUUCCAGAGUCACCAAUGGCUGGAUUAUUUGCUCGUUUAAGACAAUUUAAAUUGUGUACACUAGUUUUCAUUUUUGCAGUGUGGUUCGCCCAGUAGUCUUGUGGAUGUCAGAGACAUCCUUUCUGAAUACUUCUUGAUGGGUACAGGCUGAGUGGGGCGCCCUCACCUCCAGCCAGCCUCUUCCUGCAGAGGAGUAGUGUCAGCCACCUUGUACUAAACUGAAACAUGUCCCUCUGGAGCUUCCACCUGGCCAGGCAGGAUGGAGACUUUGACCUACUC